ACACUCCUACGGGAGGCAGCAGUGGGGAAUAUUGCACAAUGGGCGCAAGCCUGAUGCAGCCAUGCCGCGUGUAUGAAGAAGGCCUUCGGGUUGUAAAGUACUUUCAGCGGGGAGGAAGGCGAUAAGGUUAAUAACCUUGUCGAUUGACGUUACCCGCAGAAGAAGCACCGGCUAACUCCGUGCCAGCAGCCGCGGUAAUACGGAGGGUGCAAGCGUUAAUCGGAAUUACUGGGCGUAAAGCGCACGCAGGCGGUCUGUCAAGUCGGAUGUGAAAUCCCCGGGCUCAACCUGGGAACUGCAUUCGAAACUGGCAGGCUAGAGUCUUGUAGAGGGGGGUAGAAUUCCAGGUGGAGCGGUGAAAUGCGUAGAGAUCUGGAGGAAUACCGGUGGCGAAGGCGGCCCCCUGGACAAAGACUGACGCUCAGGUGCGAAAGCGUGGGGAGCAAACAGGAUUAGAUACCCCGGUAGUCCC
This 472-nucleotide ribosomal RNA is filed under the name uncultured organism. Its description in RNAcentral is "partial 16S ribosomal RNA". It matches the Rfam family "Bacterial small subunit ribosomal RNA", at positions 333 to 797 of the family's 1533-position model. The record is from RNAcentral.